Molecule: ribosomal RNA, 253 nt
Filed under: uncultured bacterium
Lineage: Bacteria
Description: partial 16S ribosomal RNA
Rfam family: Bacterial small subunit ribosomal RNA
Source: RNAcentral
UACGUAGGGACCAAGCGUUGUUCGGAUUUACUGGGCGUAAAGGGCGUGUAGGCGGCGUGGCAAGUCACUUGUGAAAUCUCUGAGCUUAACUCAGAACGGCCAAGUGAUACUGCUGUGCUAGAGUGCAGAAGGGGCAAUCGGAAUUCUUGGUGUAGCGGUGAAAUGCGUAGAUAUCAAGAGGAACGCCUGAGGUGAAGACGGGUUGCUGGGCUGACACUGACGCUGAGGCGCGAAAGCCAGGGGAGCAAACGGG